RNAcentral lists this long non-coding RNA (35815 nucleotides) under Populus tremula. RNAcentral's name for it is "long non-coding RNA (PTRE_LNC002231)". The record is from RNAcentral. Lineage: Eukaryota; Viridiplantae; Streptophyta; Magnoliopsida; Malpighiales; Salicaceae.
GUGAUCAAAUCCAAAUUCCUCUUCAGCUUUACUUAGCAGCUCUUGAAAUGAAGGCUGGUUCAAGUGUGACACUGGAAUCACAAAUCUUUUCUUCUCUUCUUCUCCAACAUAUACUGCAAUAUAGCCUUUUCGAACAUCCCUAGCUGGAGAUGAUCCUCGAAGAAGAUUUUGCUUAGCUUGAAGAAUACGAGGGAAGCGAAUAGCCAUCAUUUUGUUUGGAUGUAAAUGUAAGAACAACAAGAAGAUUGUUAGGAUUUUAGUAAGGAACAGAAAACUCUGAUUCUUGAUGAGAAUGUGAAGGCUUGAGUUGGAUUGACAAGGUAAUUGUGUGCUGUAUAUAUAGAGGAAAGAUCACAAAAACAAAAGAAGAGCACCAUUGUGGAUAAUGGAUCUACUGGUGUAUGGUCAUUUGGAUGGGGUCUAAUGAGAGACAUGAAGUAGUGAAGGAUCACAUGGUAUUGUCUCAAAAGCAAGACUGGUAACAUAAUGUCCCCAGCAUUUUUUGAGAAAAACAAUCUACUCAGGACCCACUUGAAAUUCAAGGAGUUAGCUAUUAUGAAGUCUAUCUUAAGUUGUGACCACUUGAAUACUGCAGACAACCUUGAGACAUCUACCCUCUUGAAUUAGAGUUGAACGAUAUAGAAUGAUCAUUUCUGUGGACGACCUCUUAGAGUUCAGGGCAUGCUUCAGAAGUCUAAGUUCUUUUUUUUGUUGUUGUAAUGAUGGGUAGAGGUCUUACGGACCACAUUUGUCUUGUAAAUUAUAAAGCUUUUCUAAAUCAGCAGUAUGAACAUGGAUUAUCAGCAUUUAUUGCUCUAGCAAUAUAUUCCAACAUGUACCACCAGGAAAAGUAAAAGGGACAAAAACUUGCUAGACAAAACCAUGUGAAGUGCAUAUGAAGUGCGUGGCACUGCUUCACCCUUUUUAGAACCUAUCCUGCAUUUCAGAAUAUCUUGAUGCAACUGCAAAUGACGAAGUUAAUGUCGGUAACUGUUUCCAACCAUUGAAUUUGAAAUGUGGGUGCCACCAGGAACAGAAAAAGAGCAUCAAUGCUAUCCUCAGGAAGGUUUCAACCUUGGAGGCCAAAUAUGUUGCGAGGCCUUUUAUCUAUUCACUGCUUUUCAUCUGCAAAGGUUUUGGGUGAACUUUCGUAAAACAAUGGGGAUUAAAGUUAAGUUGACCACUGCUUUUCAUCAUCAGACCAAUGAACAGUUUGAUAUGACUAUACAAUUUUUUUAAGAUAUGCUGAGAGCUUGGGUGGUUGAUUUUGAGGUUGGAUGGAGCAAGUAUUUGUCUUUGGUAGAGUUUGUAUAUAACAAUAGUUAUCACGUGAGUAUUGAUAUGGCUUUGUAUGAUCGAAAGUCUAGAUCACCCAUAUAUUGGUAUGAAGUUGGUAAGAAGAGAUUGAUGGGUCCUGAUUUAAUACAAAUUACUUUGGAUAAGAUUAGGGUGAUCCGAGAUAAGCUUCGAAUAACUUAGAGUAUGCAAAUUACAUGGGUUGGAGGAGGUAUAUUUUAGAGUUUUCGGUGAGUGACAACGUGCUCUUGAGAGUCUCUUCCAACUAAAGAAUAUUCAGAUUUUGGAAUAAAGAAAAAUUAAGUCAUCAAUCGGUUUAUAGGCCCUUUGAGAUUUUGGAAAGAGUAGGGGCAAUGGUAUACAUGUUUUUUUCUCUCUCUUAAUUUGUCCUUCAUACAUCCAGUGUUUCACGUUUCAAUAUUAAGGAAGUACUUGCAAGAUCCGUCUCAUGUUUCGGAAGUUCAAUUGGGGUGAGGAAGGAUAUGUCAUAUGAAGUACAAUCAAUAGGAGGAGCAGUGGAUCGACAAGUUAGAAAGCUUUAGUCAAAGGAAAAUGCAUCAUUUAAGGUUGUGUGAAACGAAAUUCCAUGCAAAGAGGCAAUGUGGGAGCUUGAGUAGGUAAUAAGUGGCAAGUUUUUGUACUUGUUUGAUCAUAUGAUGGUAAGACUUUUGUUAUUAAAGUUUAAAUUCAAGGAUGAGUUUUGUAUAAUGGAGGGGAUGUUGUAAAACCCAUAUUUUAGCCCAUCAGACAUAAACCCAAGAACCCAACCUAACCUAUAUAUCUAAAGAGAAUUUUUUUUUCUAGAGAAUUGGUUUUCCCUUCUUCUCUUUUUCCCUCCCUUACUCUCUUUUUCCCUCCCUUACGAUAGCUUUUCUCCUAAAUAUACCAAAGAACUCAACUCUAUCUAAAGUUAAACUUUUUGGUUUUAAGAAGGAUAUGAAGAAACAAGUAUCAUGAUCACUCCUUUUUUUGUUGUUUUCGAAUGGGGAUUAAACAUCAUAUCUCCAGUAGCUCUUGAAUGAGUGAAUAAUUAGGAUAUGGAUGAUAGCAUAGGGGUUAAAGACAAUCUGAAUCGAUUCAUAAGAAACAUGUUCUAGUAUGAUUUUAAUAGUUUGUGGAUUAAAGAAGUGUUUUGGGAUAUGUUGAUUUGGUAAUUUGACUAUUUAAGAUGUUUAAUUAAUAUUUAGGGUAUUAAUUUGGCUUAAAGAGAAUCGAUUUGAGGACUAGAGUUAUGAGUUUUUGAGGAACAUGUUGAGUUUUAAAGAUUUGCAAUUUUGAAAGAUUAACAAAUCAAGAUUUUGAAAUCCUAAUCAACCAGUCAACCUGUUUAUUUGAAUCGAUUGACCAAUUGGCUUGAUGAUAUCAGUUGAGUUGUUGAUCAAUUUUGGUUGACUGGUUCUUUUAGGUUUGGUUAGUUUGGGAAAUGUUUGGGAUUGAUUAGGUGGAUUUAUUUUGGUUUUAUAAUUAUAUUUUGGUCUCAAAUCUUAGAAUUAUAAUCUUUUAUAUUAUCUGAUUCGAGUGGUUUUGAGUAUUUUUUGUAUUCAUUAUAGAUUCUGUUGACAUUCUCCUAGCAAUCUUUAGUAAUCUCUAGUUUUACAUUUGUUGGUCUCUUGUUUCUGGUUUACAGGUAAGUGCAAUAAUUUUUAAUAUGCAUGUAAUAUAAAUAAUUUAUAUAAGUUGAUUUAUUUUCUAGGUGCAAAUUUGUAUUCGCAUUGUAUUGAUUUAAUUCUAUUUGGUAUAUUAUUUGUUUGCUUUGAUACACACAAACACACACACUAAUAUUUGUUAUUUUUGGAUAUCAAUAUGCCCGUUAGAAAUUCCAUACUAAUAGAGAAAAGUUAGUAUAUAUACACUUAGUAGUUUGUAUAUAUGCUUAGUUGGUGAGAGAGACAUCAGAUUGUGACGAUUAAUCAUCUCAUAGUUAUCGAGGUCGCAAACCUUUUCUGUUAUAUAUAUGUUUCGGUUCUUAUACUUCUAUUAUAUCAUAAUUUCUGGUCUAUAACAUAAAAAUAUCUAUAAUGUAUAUUAAAUAUUAUUUCUUCACCAAGUUGGUUAAACUCACCGCUAUAUUCUAAUAUUAUUUUAAGGUUCUUAACUUAUAUUAGCAGGUUGAUUUUUAUAUAAGAGUUCCUCCUACUUCAUUUAUUGGUAUGCAUUGUUUGCUUCUACAAGGCUUUUCUUCUAAUUUAUUUUUUUAAUUUGAUGUCUUAGUCACUUUAUUAUUACACAGCUUUUAUUCAAGUUUGGAUUUUUAUUUCAAAGAUUGAAAUUUAUUUAAUGCAAUAAUACUUAUUAUGAAUUUUUAUUUUAUUUCUAUUUAAUGAUUGUCGCACCCGACAUCGCAGCAGCCUUUAAAAUUUAAUUAAAUAUUUGGAAAAGAUCGAAUUUCUGGCAUCAUGUUCUUUAAUGGGAAAUGGUCUUGUUUAAGGAGUCGCCACCUAGUAUUAUAGUCACUAGGAACCCUAACUGGUCAACAGAGAUUCUAUGGUUCGGGACUGGUUACGUAAAAUGAAAGAUAUUAUCACUCCUUAAACGUCCUGCCUAAGACAUACUGCAUUGCUAGUUUCGUCUUAAAUUGCUAAAUGUUUAUUAGACAAAUAUUUUUUAGUUUUUCUAGCUAAAUAAAAUAAAAUACAACGAAUAAAAAUAAUAUAAAUUUAAACUGAUAUUUUUAUUCCUGACUCUGGCGUCAAUGAAUAAACCAAUAAAUUUACAUUAUUUUUAUUCGUGCAUACACAUUUUUUUAUUUUUUUUAUUUUUCUGUUUUUUAUUUUUUUUAUUUUUUUUGGGCUGGGCUGGGCUGGACCCAGCCCAGCAUAUAUUUUUUUGUACUGGUCCAGCUCAGUCCAUAUGGGCUGGGCUAGGCCCGGCUGGGCUAGCAACACGCGUGUUACAACACUGUGCAAGUGAAUUAAAAUUCACUUGCACAGUGCAAAUGCAAUUGUAACAAAGGAGCGCAAGAAGAACAGAUUGCUUACCUGGUCUGCUGCCCGUUUUUCCCUUCUUCUUCCGUUCUUAUGAUUCUGCGAAUGGUUCGUUCAUAAAUAUUUCCCGGUAAUCUCUGUCCCUUCAUCACAAUCAUAACACCUUUACUCACCUUUAGUACUUCACCUUUAAACUUGAAGCUGAAUCCUUUAUGGUCUAAAGUGCCUAAUAUAAUUAGAUUCUUUCUUAAAUCUGUUAUAUGUUUAACAUCACACAAAGUUCAAAUAGCACCAUCAAACAUUUUAAUUUUGAUAUUUUCUAUUCCAACAACUUUGCAUGGAUCAUCAUUAUCUAUUGUCAUAACCCAAUUUUCGAUCUUUUUAUUUUAAUUAUUUUAUUUACUGUAAAAAAUGCUGAAAAAAUAAUGAAAAAGAAAGAAAAAUAAAAUAAAUGAAGAAUUAAUUAAAAUUUGGGUUAAGGGUGACAUGAUUGGAAGUUUUGGGGAUUAAUUAAACUUUGUAAUUUAAUUAAUCGAAUCAAAGGUUUAAUUGGAGAAUUAAUAAGUUUUGAGACUUAAUUGAGUUUGGAAUUAAUUGAAUUAAUGAAAUUAGGGACUUAAUUGAAGAAUUACCAAAGUUUGGGGUUAACUGGGGUGCCAAAUUGCAACAGAUUAGAGUCCAAGGACUAUUUUGUAAAAUAGGCUGAAAUGCUGAGGUCCAAUUAAAGUUUAUCCAGGGGCUUAUUUACAAAAAAUUCAAAACUUCAAGGACCAGAUCAUAAAUAGCAGUUGAUGGGAAAACGGAGCCGUUUCUUGGACGAAACUGUUCACUGUCUUCUUCCUCCGUUUCAUCAAUUUCCAGCCAACGCUUGGGUUUCAUAAUUGAAGGCAACCAGUUACAGGGCAUUUAAGAGGCGACCGUUACAGCGCCGAUCGAUCUCUAGCCUUAUAAAAGCUGGGCAAAGGCAACCUCAGAAGGGAGAGAAAAAAGAAGGGAACCGGGGGGGUGAAGACAGACGAAACGCAGAAAAAAAAGAACGAACGCAGGAGACAGAGAAUGAGAGCAAGAAAACAGAGAGAGUGAGCAACUGGAAACAAGAAAAAACAGGGGACGAACAGGCCGAAAAUCAGACGAACGAACAGGAGGAGGAAGGAGAGACUGGAAAAAGGAGAACAGAACAGCCCGCCACCACGCCAUCGUCAUCGUCUUCGUUCCUGUGCGUCCAGGUAAGAUUCUCGCUCUCUUUCAUUUUUAGUUAUAUAAGUACAGUGAGAAGGUAAUUUUAAUUACCUUCCCACUGUGCACAGCAUGCGUGAAUAAUUCACGCAUGCGUGCCUCAGCCAGCCGGGCCACUGGCCGGUUGGGCCUAGCCAAGCCCAAAAAAAAAAAGUAGAAAAAAUAAAAAUUAUGUAUGCAUGAAUAAAAAUAAUGUAAAUUUAUUGGUUUAUUCACUAACGCUAAAGUCAUGAAUAAAAAUACCGGUUUAAAUUUAUAUUAUUUUUAUUCGUUGUAUUUUAUUUUAUUUAGCUAGAAAAAUAAAAAAUAUGUGCAUGCGUAAAAAUAAAUUUAUUUUUAUUUAUUUAUUCACUAGCGCCAGAGUCCAGAAUAAAAAAAUAUUGAUCUUAUUUAUUUUAUAGCUACAUGAUAUUUACCAACGCAAGAGUUGGAAUUAUCUGUAGUUGAAUAUUCACUGGCGUCAGAGACAUGAAUAUUGCAAGGAAACCAUCAUAGCAUAAACCAAUAAAUAUUUAGCAAUUUAAAGACAAAACCAGCAAUGCAGUCUAUCUCAGGCAGAACGUUAAAGGGGUGAUAAUAUCUUCCUUUUUACGUAACCAAUCUCGUACCAUAGAUCUCUGUUAACCAGUUAGGGUUCCUAGUGACCAUAAUACUAGGUGACGACUCCUUAAACAAAGACCAUUUCCCAUCAAAGAACAGGAUGCCAGAAAUCUGUUCUUGUCGAUAUUAAAAAUAUUUUUAGAGUCGCCGCAAUGUCGGGUGCGACACCUAUCAUAAUAGAAUUAUAAUUAACUAACAUCUAGUUGUCUAGCAAAUCUUUAUUCAGAGUUGUGUGAUAAGAACAUGCCGAAUCCAAUAUGCAAGAAUAGGUGGGAUGAUCUGAACUCGAUGAAACAAAAAGCAUAUCUUCGUCAUUAAGCAAGCAACUAUCAAGUUGGUUUUCUCCAUUACAGUUUCGCAUGAUUGGAUGAUUUAAAGGUUGACACGUCAUUAUUUAUCUUGUUUGUGUGUGCUGAUAUGUUUUACCUUCUGGUUUAUGUUGAUGAUAUCCUGCUUAUGGGUAGCAACUCUAUUAUUCUUCAAAGACUAAUACAGUUACUAAUUUCAGAGUUUAAGCUUUGAGACUUAGAAGAUAUUCAUUACUUUUUUAGAAUUGAGGUUAAAUCCACCAGUAUGGGUCUGAUGCUAUGACAAAAUAAGUAUAUUCUUGACAUACUUACUUGAGUUGGUAUGACCUCUUGCAAAUCUGUUGAUACUCCUAUUUCUACCUUCAAAGUUACAGUGAUGCAUGAUUGCUUAUUUUUUGAUCCUACACAGUUUCAUCAAAUCAUUGGUGCUCUUCAAUACCUCACUUUUAUGAGACCAGACAUUUUCUUUGCUAUUAACAGAGCUGUCAGUUUAUGCAUGCUCCUACAGAUUCCCAUUAGGCUGCCUUUAAAUGCAUUAUGCAUUAUCUUCGGGGUAUAGUCUCUUAUGGCUUACAUAUCACUCGUAACUCCUUUUUUGCUUUACAUGGCCUUACAAAUGUAGACUAGGCGAGUAGUCUUGAUGAUCGCAAGUUUAUGGGUGGUUACCUUGUGUUCUCUGGUCAUACACCGAUUUCAUGGAAAUCAAGCAAGCAACGCACGACUGCUCGUUUUUCUACCGAGAUCGAGUAUAAAACCUUAGUAGACGACACUGUUGAGGUUAUCUGGCUUUAAUAUUUAUUGUUAGAUCUGCAGAUUAAUCAUACUUCUGCUCUUACCAUUUGGUGUGAUAAUCUCUAUGAUAUUUUUUUGUCUGCGAAUCCUAUCUUUCAUGCUCAUACAAAACAUGUUGACGUUAAUUAUCAUUUUGUACGUGACAGGGUUGCCAAUAAAGAGAUUCAGAUUCCUUUUAUCUCUUCUUAGGAUUAACUUCUAGAUGUCUUUACUAAGCCACUUCCUACUACUUCUUGUACUGCCUUUUCAGUAUGAAGAUAGAUAAAGGAAGAGAAUUGAGAAGAACUAACUAGCUCAAGCUUCGGGUCGAUCCUCCACCCUCAGCUUAAGGGAGCAUAUUAUAGACUAUAUAUAUCUAGGAAAUAUUAUUGGAUUAAUCUAAUACUGUAAUCUCUACAUUAACUAUUGUAUAUUGCCCUACAUGUAUAAAUAGGAAAGGUUGGCUAACUAAUAGGUUAAGUCUCUAAUUUCUCUUCAACUGGUAGUAUUCAUAUUUCACAUAAAAUCAUAAAAUCAUGGUUUUACCUGAUUUUAAGUGAAUUUAUUUAACAAUUUACUAAUUACCAAGGAAAUUUUAUUCUGAUGAUGGAUUAUCCAUUUUUUUUUAGUUUAAAACUGGUUUUAUAGUUUUUUCAGCAUAGGUAUCAAGAUUUUUAAGUCAGGAUCAUAGAUCUUUGAGACAAUUUCCAAAUUUUGAAUAAUGAUAGUGAGAAAGUGAGAGCAACUCUGCAGAUCUGUAUUAAUAAAUUCUCUUAUGGGUGGACAUUUCCCAUCCCAUUUGUCUCUACCACAAGUAAAUGAUGUACAAAAGUUUUGAAGCAAAUUAAUUCCUGCUCUGUGUUAUGAUAAAUUCAAGCCUGAAAUGAUGUCAAUAAAGGUAUCUUCUCGGCCAGGAAGUGUAAGACGGCCCAUCGGAUGAUUAUAUUCGAAUUCUUCUUCGGCUAUUCUUAGCAAUUCUUGGAAUGAAGGUUGAUUCAAGAAUGAAAUUGGAACAGUGAAUCUUUUCUUUUGGCUCUCUCCAACAUAGACCACAAAGAAGCCUUUAGGAACAUCGGUUGCUUGGUUAGCAAGCAAAUUUGACCGACGGAGAAUUUGCUUAGCAGUCAUGAUACCCUUAAGAAGGAUGGCCAUUGUGUGAUCUGUAUUAUUCUGCUAGAAAAAAGAUGAUCUUAGAGUAAUUUGGAGGAGGAUUUGCUUUUUAUGAGAGAACGUGAGGACUUGAUAUGGUUGUGGGGAGAUGCAUUUAUAUAUAUAGAUGGAUUUAGUACGUGGAAAAUCUAUGAAGUGUGGAUGAGAGGAGAAGCAACCUAAGUGGGGUUUGCUUAGAGACAUAAGCAGCAGAAGGAUCACAUGGUCCUGUCUUGCAACUCAUCAUCAAGAAAAUUAUAGUGAAUUAAAUCAGCAUACUUUGUUGGUACACAUUAUGGCUAAGCAGUUUUUGGAGAAAAAUAAAAACAAAAACAAAAUCUUGCUAGACAAGGCCUUGUGAAGAGCAUGUGAAGCCGGUGGCAAUGCCCCUUCCUUUCAGAACCUAACCCACAUUUCAGAAAUCUUGUUGGCGCUGCAGAUGAUUAAAUUAAUGCCGGUCAUUGACAAUAUAAUUGUUUCUAGCCAUCAACUAUCAUAAAAAAGAAAAAGAAAAAGAAAAAAGAAAUGUGGUUGCCACCAAGAGAGAAACUUUUUCCUGUAUGUUGACAGAAAGCAACAAUGCUAACCCCAGGAAGAUUUAUUUGGCCAAAUAUAUUGAGCCUUGUUGUGUAGUCAUUGUGGUACUGGCCAUAUGUAUUUAAGCAUGAACCUCUGAACAGUGUUAGAGAAAGACUAACCAAGGUUAAACAAACAUAAAUAAAAGAGGGCGUGAGAAGGGCAAGGCAGAGUUUAAACAAUCAAUGGCGACAUGGAAUUUUAUAGGUCAAACCAAAUAAAUAUUUGAUUUAAUAUUUUCGGGCCAUUUCUAUCAGUUACUGCAAUCAUCAUAUUCAUAACAUUCAAUGAUAUUGGAUUGAUGAAAUAGUUUUAUUAAGUUUUUUUAAAAGAAACUGAGGAAUCAAAGAAGGUUUCUCAUUUGUUGAAAUAGUUUGAUUCUAUAACAGAAAGUAUUUACAUCAAAUUGGCAAUUUAUGCCAUAAAAUGUUUUUCUAUCUGGUUAGUAUGAUUGCCUCUAUUUAUGAUCUGCUCAAGCUAGAAAGGACAUCAAUGAAUUUAUCUUCUCUGCAAGGAAUUGUCAAACCACCCAUUGGAUGAUUAAAACCAAACUCCUCUUCAGCUUUAGUAAGCAAAUCUUGAAAUGAAGGCUCAUUCAGAUAGGACACUGGAACUACAAAUCGCUUCUUCUCUCUUUCGCCAAUGUAGACAGCUAAGAAACCUUUCGGUACAUCUAAAGAUCUUGAAGCUGGUUUACUUGCAUUCCAUACAGAUCGGCGUAGAAUUUGUUUGGCUAGAGCAGCAGCCAGAUGUCUAGUCAUGGUGUUACUGUUGAUGUAUGUUUUCAGAAAAGAACUUGAGAGAGUCUGUCACUUAAGGAAAAAAUAUCAGUGGAGAAUAUUGUGAUGACUUGGUUGAGACACCAGAACGUAUCUAGGUAUAUAUAGAAGAAAUACCAAGAAUAAUAAAAAAAAAAUCCUUCAGCAAUUGGAGUGGCUAGAAAUCAUUUGCUAGGGUCUGCUAAGAACAUCUCACGAGGGAUCAUGCGACCUUGCCUUCUAAUUAAUCAACAACAAUAGGGUAGUGAUGAUUCAUCUCUCUCCUACUAUGUCUACACGUCUAAACACCAGAAUGCCCUACGACCACAUAGACAAGCCUGAUCGAGGUCAAGGCUAAAGAUUGUAAAUUGGAUGGUGGCACAUUAAAUGUUGACACAACGCCAAACUGACUUUUGGAACAGGGACAUAUGCUUGAGAGAAAUGUUCAGGACAUUCAAUGAAUGAAUGAUAUGUGUGGAAAUAAAGAUUAUAGAUGAGUUUCUAUUGGUUGAAUAUAGCGUGGGAGACAGUGAAAAAAGCAAUGGUUGUGACUUGUCAGGUACUAACUAUUAGUCCACAGCUUGUCUGAUAAUCGAAGGGUUAAUUGAUUUACCAAAUUUCAACCAAUUGUAUCCAGCAUAUACCUAAUCCGAGAUCACUUGGUUUUGCAUCUCAGUCAGCAUUAAAUACCCUUUUCCCGGUCCCUGUUUAGUUUUUGUGGAGGUCAUCUUGCUUCCAAACAACAUGUCGGAACAAUAUUGCGGUAUGAAUCACUAUCGGUCCCGGUAUUUCUUGACCAGUUGGAAGACCAGACCAUGUGAUGCUCUUAAGCUAUAUCAUGAGCAGACCCCAGCAAAUGAUUACUGUGCACUCACCAUAUUAUUUACAGGAUUUUGUACAAAUGUUUUUGGAAUAGUCUUGAAUUUUUCAAGAGAAAAUAAUACUGGAAUUAUAGCUUUUCUUUAACCUGAGCCUUACAGGUCUAUGAAAAAUUGAAAUAACAAUAAAGAAAUUGUUCUAAAGAAAUUGAAUAAAAAGAAUGAUACUGAAUUGAUAAAUCCUAAUCUAGAUUUCUGAGCAGUUUCGAGGUAGCCCGGGCCUCCUGGGUGAAUGAGAUUUACUUCAAAGUAAUUUCCUUCCUCUAGCUGUGCCUCCUUUCCCCCUUUUAUAGUGAUCUUUGCUUAAUUGAAAUACCAGAAUCGUAGAUAGCAUUGACAGCUAUUUUAUUGCUCAGUGUUGUAUUUGAAUUCUAUUUCUUCUCCCAAACGGUAUCGUAUUUGGACUCCUUCUAACUUAGAAGUCUUUUCCCAACAGUGCCGUAUGCCUCUAACUUACUCCCUUGCCAGCUGUCAGCCGCUGGUCUUUCUUCAUCUCAGCCCUCCACGUAAGUCCUUCUUCCCUUGAUCAUGACCAUACACUUAUUAUCUUUAAUUAUUUGCUGCAGGUGAGUCUUCUUCAAGAUGUCUCUUUCAUUUCGUCCCUGGCUUCGCUUGAUCGUGUUCUUUUAGGCGCAGCCGGACUGUUACAACUCCUUCCCUCUUUAAAAAACCUUGCCCUCAAGGUGAGGGUAAGACUCUUUUAACCAUUCUUCACCGAUCCAAACGGCGUCCUCCUUGGGCUGUCCUUCCCAUCUCAGCAGUACUUCUUCCAUUUUCUUCCCCUGUGAAGUCUGGCUCCUUCGGUCAAGAACCUCUGCUAGUUCUGGUUGAGGGUUCCUCCUGGUCUCGGGGGUGGGUAGCUUUGGUUCGGGGAUGGUUCCCUUUCCCACCCAUUUCUUCAACAGUGAUACAUGGAACGUGCUGUGGAUGCGGGCUUCUCUGGGGAGAUCUAAUUGGUAAGCUACCUCUUCGAUCUUCUUUAUAAUUUUGAAUGGCCCGAAAUACUUGUAUGCUAACUUCUCGUUUUUGUUUUUUGGCAUGCUGGACUGUCUGAACGGCUGGAGUCGGAGGUAAACCCAUUCCCCCUCUCUGAACUGGGUCUCUUUUCUGCCUUUAUCUGCUUGUUUCUUCUGUCUCUCCUGAGCUCUGGCUAGAUUGUGUUUUAUUUCUGCAAUUUGUUCUGUUCUAUUUUGUAACUGUUCCUCUGCUGCAUGGUUUUUUGCUGACCCGGGGAUAUAAUCUGUGAGACUUGGGGGUGGGUAACUGUAAACUGCUUCAAAGGGGGUAGAUUUAAGGGAUGUAUGGUAACUGGUGUUAUAGCAAUAUUCGGCCAUAGUCAACCAAUUAGACCAGCCCUUCGGGUUAUCUCCUACAUAGCACCUUAAAUAACCUUCCAAAGUUUUGUUAGUCGCCUCUGUCUGCCCGUCGGUUUGGGGGUGGUAGGAAGUUGACAUCAGUAGCUUAACCCCUUGGGUUUGGAAUAGCUCUCUCCAAAAAUUGCUAGUAAAUGUAGGAUCCCUGUCUGAUAUUAUACUGUCUGGUAGUCCAUGGAGUUUCAUUACCUGCUGUGAGAACAAAUUUGCAAUUUUUGUCGCGCUGUAGGGGUGGGAUACAGGGAUGAAAUGGGCAUAUUUGGUAAACCUAUCUACGACUACCAUGAUUACUGAGUAUUGGUUAGAUUUGGGCAGCCCUUCUAUAAAGUCCAUUGAUAUGAACGACCAUGGUCUGUGGGGUAUAGGUAAAGGUUGUAAGAGCCCUGAGGGUUUUGUGUUUUCUCCCUUUACUCUCUAGCAGACCUCACACUGUUUGAUAUAGGUUUGUAUCUCUGAUUUCAUUCCUAUCCAAAAAAAGUCUCUCCUGGCUCUUUUUAGUGUUCUUUCAAAGCCUGUGUGUCCUGAUGAGGGGCUGUCAUGUAUGUAAUUUAGGACGGCUGUUUUUAUAGGGCUGGAUUGGCUUAUGUAGACUCUCUGUUUGUAGUAUAGUAUCCCUCCCUUAAAUUGGUAUUUCAAUGAUCCUAUGGUUUCCUGGUCUAGUUGUUGCAUGAUAGCUUGAAUUUCUGGGUCAUUUUUAUAGCUAUCUUUUAUCUGAUCAGCCCAGUUAACAAUUAGAGUAGAGAUAGCCCAUAAUGUACCUUGUUGCCCAGUUAACAAUUGGAGUAGAGAUAGCCCAUAAUGUACCUUGUUCUGUGAUGUCCUCCUGUCGGGAGAGUGCAUCGGCUGCUAGGUUCUCUUUUCCUGCUCGAAACUCGACUAUGAAGUCAUAUCCAAUUAAUUUGGAUAGCCAUUUCUGCUGUGUGGGUGUUCCAACCCACUGCUCCAGUAGAUACUUGAGGCUUUGUUGAUCCGUCUUGAUUUUAAAGGCUUGGCCCAAAAGGUAGGGCCUCCAUUUCUGGACCGCAGUGACCAGUGCUAGGAACUCCUUCUCGUAGGUGGAUAGUGAGAGCUCCCUUCCUUUUAAACUUUUGCUGAAAUAGGAAAUGGGUCUGCCUCCUUGCAUUAAUACUGCUCCAAGUCCUGUACCUGAGGCAUCACACUCUAUUACAAAACUUUGGUUGAAAUCUGGUAGUGCUAGGACUGGGGGGGUUGAUACGACUUGUUUUAGUUUCUCAAAGGCUGUUUCUACUUCUGGAUCCCAUUUGAAAGCCCCUUUUUUCAAUAGUCUAGUUAAGGGACCAGCAAUUGCCCCAUAACCCUGGAUGAACCUCCGGUAGUAGCCUGUCAAUCCUAAGAAACCCCUUAGAGAUUUAAGUGUGGUUGGUCUAGGCCACUUGAUCAUUGACUCCACCUUGCUGGGGUCAGCAUGCACCCCCUGAUCGGACACGAUGUGUCCUAAAUAUUCAAUCUCCUUGCUUGCAAAUUUACAUUUGGACUGUUUGGCGAAUAAAUUAUGUUGUACCAGAGUCUCAAAUACCCUCCUUAGGUGUCUCUCAUGCUCUUCCACAUUGUGAUUAUAGACUAGGAUGUCGUCGAAGAAAACCAGAACGAAUUUUCUGAGAUAGGGUCAGAAAAUGUCGUUCAUCAGCCCUUGAAAAGUGGAUGGGGCGUUUGUGAGGCCGAAUGGCAUGACCAGAAACUCAUAGUGCCCUUCGUGAGUCCUAAAGGCCGUCUUAGGUACAUCUUCUUCCUUCAUUCUGAUUUGGUGAAAACCGGACCGCAGGUCCAACUUAGAAAAAAUCUGAGAACCAUGAAGCUCAUCCAGUAGCUCUUCCACAACUGGUAUGGGAAAUUUGUCUUUUACAGUUUCCUUAUUGAGGGCACGAUAGUCCACACACAUUCUCCAUGACCCGUCAGCCUUCCUAACUAAUAGGACAGGUGAUGAAAAGGGGCUUUGGCUGGGUCUUAUGGUACCCAUUGCCAACAAUUCCUUAAUGAGCUUUUCUAUCUCAGUUUUCUGGUAGUAAGGAUACCUAUAAGGAUGAACACUGAUUGGGGAGGUCCCCUCCUUUAAUACUAUAGAGUGAUCCUGUGAUCUACUGGGCGGUAUUCCCAUUGGUUUUUGAAAGACUUUCGCAAACUCUAGUAACAGAUUCUCAAUCUGUUCUGGAAUUUCAUUCUGGGUUGACCCGAGCUCCCAGAUUUGCAGAAUCAGGCCUUCCUCUGCUCUUCUUAAUUCUUUAAAAAAUGUUGGGCUGCAGUCGACCUCUGACUUUUCCACUCCCAUCCCGUAGAUUGGAACCUUCUUUCCUUCCUGUUGGAAUUCCAUUUUUAAGGCUGAGAAGUCCCAUAGAAUGGGCCCUAUACUUUUGAGCCACUGGAUUCCCAACACUAUAUCGCAUCCCCCCAGCUGAAUGAUAUAAGCUCGGGUGACAAACUGAUUCCUUAAAUCAGUAGUUUGAUAUCCGAGCAACUUCCCUCACUCCACAAUCAGGACCCAUCUGCAAUAUUCACUCCGAUAGGGUGGUGUUUCAGGACUUUCAUUCCCACCCUCCUUGCUACUCUGGGAUGUAUGAAAUUAUGUGUGCUUCCUGUAUCAAUUAAGGCUACAAAGUUAUGGCCACUCAGCUUAACUUCUACUCUCAUAGUUUUUGGAUUAGGACUUCCUAGGAUUGCAUGAAGGGAUAUGCCAAUUCCCUUCUGGCUGCCCUCCUGGGGAUCUCCCAAUUCUGUAAGAUCUUCAGGGACAUAAUCUUUUUCCUCCAUCUCCUCGUCUACUUCCUCUACUAAGAACAACCUUGGUCCUCCACACCUAUGGCCAGGACCCCAUUUACUAUCUCAUUUAAAGCAAAGCCCCUUGUCUUUUUUUUCCUUCAUCUAGGCAGGAGUGAGUCUUUGUAUCUGCACUGGUUUAUUUUCAGCUUUGGGCUGGAUCGGGGUUGGGCUUCGGUUUUGAAACCCUGUAGUGCUGGGCCUCCAAGACCUCCUCAUGAUGGACAGAUUCUCCUCUUGCAUCCUUGCUAGCCCAUAAGCAAACACUAGAUUCUAGGGGUUCAGCAUUCUGACUCCCAUUUUUAUCUCCUCCUUCAAUCCCCCUAGGAAACAGCUGAGCCUGUGGGAGUCUGAUAAUCCUCUGACUCGGUUCGAAAGUAAUUCAAAUUGGGUUUUGUAGAGCUCUACUGUAGAGGUUUGUUUGAUACUUAUGAGGGCUUCCAUGGGAUCAUCAUAAGAUGAUGUUCCGAAACGAAUUUGAAGGGCCUUGACAAAGGCCUCCCAACUGGUGAGAAUUCCGGUCUCCUCUAGUUCUUGGUACCAAGUUAUGGCUUUUCCUUCCAUAUGGAAGCUGGCUAUGAACAGCCUGUGUUGAGCAGGAGUGUUGUGGAAGUUAAAGAAUUGAUUAGCUUUGUAUACCCAACCAAUAAGGUCAUCCCCAUUAAAUUUGGGAAACUCUAAUCGGAUGGACUUGAGCUAGACUUGUUGAAUUCCUUCCUGUGGUAUUAUUUCAUGCCUUGGAUUUCCAUUAAUGGCUCCAGUGGGAGAGCUGGGAGGAGAGCCCAUGGGCCUUUUCCCUUUGGUCAUUUGAUCCAUUCUGGCAGACAUAUUUCUCAACUAUUGUACCAUGUCUUCCAAUAUUUGUUGUUGAUUCUGCUGGUUUUCUUGCUGUAACUUUUGUUGUUGUUUCAUCCCUGACAUAGUUUCUAUUAGUUGUGAAACUCUUGUUCCUUCAGCCAUCCGAGAAUCGUGGCUCUGAUACCACUUGGAAUAGUCUUGAAUUUUUCAAGAGAAAAUAAUACUGGAAUUAUAGCUUUUCUUUAACCUGAGCCUUACAGGUCUAUGAAAAAUUGAAAUAACAAUAAAGAAAUUGUUCUAAAGAAACUGAAUAAAAAGAAUGAUACUGAAUUGAUAAAUCCUAAUCUAGAUUUCUGAGCAGUUUCGAGGUAGCCCGGGCCUCCUGGGUGAAUGAGAUUUACUUCAAAGUAAUUUCCUUCCUCUAGCUGCGCCUCUUUCCCCCCUUUUAUAGUGAUCUUUGCUUAAUUGAAAUACCAGAAUCGUAGAUAGCAUUGACAACUAUUUUAUUGCUCAGUGUUGUAUUUGAAUUCUAUUUCUUCUCCCAAACGGUAUCGUAUUUGGACUCCUUCUAACUUAGAAGUCUUUUCCCAACAGUGUCGUAUGCCUCUAACUUACUCCCUUGCCAGCUGUCAGCCGCUGGUCUUUCUUCAUCUCAGCCCUCCACGUAAGUCCUUCUUCCCUUGAUCAUGACCAUACACUUAUUAUCUUUAAUUCUUUGCUGCAGGUGAGUCUUCUUCAAGACGUCUCUUUCAUUUCGUCCCUGGCUUCGCUUGAUCGUGUUUUUUUAGGCGCAGUCGGACUGUUACAGUUUUCCUCUAUAUAUACCAGCACAUUUUAUCACAACAGCCCAAGCAUUUGCAUUGUAUAUUGAUAUCAAUUCCCUAGCUCUUAUAUAGUUACGUUUCGCCUACUGUUAUUAUAAGUAAAAAACUAUUCAAGCGGAAUGCUUUUCUGUAUUGAUUAAGUUCAAUAUAUAUACAAGAUACAUUAGGGUUCCCUUAUAAAUCAGCGACUGAUAAGGAAUGACAACUAAUUCAAUGUAGAUUGAUACAAAAUAUUCUUACGUAUCUUUCCUACUCAUAUCAAGAUAUAGCUUUUCUAUUUACAUCAAAGCACUAUUAAUAGAAUUUCCAACACUCCCCCUCAAGUUGGAGAGUGAAUAUCAAUAACUCUCAACUUGCACAUGAGCUGUUUGAACUUCUCCUUUCCCAAAGCUUUUGUAAACACAUCUGCUAAUUGUUGUGAAGAAAUCACGUAUCAAGUAGCAAUUUCACCUCGUAAAAUUUUGUCCUGAAUAAAAUGGCAAUCCAUUUCAAUACGCUGAGUUCUCUUAUGAAACACAAGAUUUUUUUGCAAUGUGUAAGGCAACUUUAUUAUCACAAUGAAGAGUAAUAGGAUUUGAAACUGGCAUAAGUAAAUAUGUUACUAAAUGUCUUAACAAAGUAAGCUCACAACAUGUACAUGCCAUUGCUCUAUAUUUUGCUUCCACACUUGAUAAGGAAACUGUCUUUUGCCUUUUGGUUCUUCAUGAAAUUAAAUAAUUUCCAAGGAAUACACAAUACCCAAUAGUGGAGCGGCGAGUGAUAGGACAACCCGCCCAAUCAGAGUCAUAAAAUGCCCUUAAGUGUAAUGAGUUAUUUGAAUGAAGAAGCAAACCUUGACCAGGAACAGAUUUUAAAUAACAAACAACUCGAAGAGCAGCAGCCAUGUGAGGUUGACGUGGUUCAUGCAUGAAUCGGUUGAGAAUGUGAAUUGAAUAUGUGAUAUUCGGUCUAGUGAUGGUUAAGUAAAUUAAUCGACCAACUAGACACUGGUAUAGACAAGGGUCUUUGAGCAAUUCUCCUGUAUUUGAAAGUCUGCAUUCUUCCAUAGGAAACUCAACUAGUUUGGCACCCAAGUAUGCACUGUCUUUGAUAAUUUCCAAAGCAUAUUUGCGCUGGGAAAUGUAAAUGCCUUUCUUGGAACGGGCUAUUUCAAUGCCUAAGAAGAAUUUCAGAUCACCAAGGUCUUGGAUGCGGAAACGAGUGUGGAGGAAUUGCUUUAAACCUUUAAUGGAUUCAAUGUUGUUCCCAGUUAUCAAAAUGUCAUCCACAUAGGUUAAUAGGAUAGUAAGAGAUGUGUCAUCUCUUUUGGUGAACAAGGAAAAGUCAGCUUUUGACUGACAAUAACUAGUAGCAAGAACAACUUCUGUGAACUUAGAGAACCACUAUUGAGACGCUUGCUUAAGGUCGUAUAGUGACUUGUGGAGGCGACACUCAAUGUUCUCCCCCUGUUGCCGAAGACCAGGAGGAGGAGACAUAUAUUUCUUCCAAUAAAUCACCAUUUAAGAAAGCAUUGUUAAUGUCUAGUUGAUGUAAGGACCGGUUCAGACUGGCAGCAAUAGCAAGGAGGCAAUGGAUAGUGACCAUUUUUGCAAUGGGGGAAAAAGUAUCAUGAUAAUCAAUUACAGUAGUUUGUGUGAAACCCUGAGCGACCAGGCGAGCUUUAUAGCGCUCAACAGAUCCGUCAACCUUGCAUUUGAUGCGAUACACCCAUUUACAACUGAUCGGGCAUUUGCUAGGGGGCAAAGGAAUGAGGCUCCAUGUCUGAUUGUCAAUGAGAACUUGAAGCUCAAAAUUCAUAGCUUCCUGCCACUUAGGAUCAGUCAUAGCAAGUUCAUAUGAAGGAGGUUCCUCAUCACGACUAACAUUGGUAAUAUAACAGAGAUGUGAUGGAGAAUACCGAUUAUAAGAAUUGAAAUGACAGAGAGGAUAUUUUGUACCUAGUGUAGGUGCAGACGAGGCCAAGAACAAUUGGUGUGGAGGCAGAAUCACCUGCGAGCAAACAUAAUCCUUGAGGCGGACGUUGGCUUCUCGAGGGUGUUGAGAGUGGUGAAGUGGCUGAUCAUGUAUAACCAGAGUAGGUUUAGGAAAGACAGGGUCAUUCAGCUGAAUAGGGGUUUGCUGUGCAGCUGGUGGAGUUAAUGGAGUAGAGGAAGGUGGCUCAGGAAGAGAAGAUACUGAGUCGGUUGGUGCAGGUGAAGAGGAUAUGGGGGGAUCGAAGGGGUCAAUGAUGACUGAUGCGGGAGGAAGAUGGGAAUAAGAAUCGGACACAAUAGGAAGAGGAAUGGGCAAGGCUGGUGGAUUGUGUGUUAUAGGAUUGGCCUGUGAUGGAUGAUAAAAAGUGUCCUCAAGAAAUACCACAUCCCGAUUGGUGAAAAUUUUAUGAGUUGCAAUAUUGUAAAGUUUGUAAGCCUUUUGUCCCAUAGGGUAACCAAGAAAAAUGCAUUUUGUGGCACGGGGAGAAAAGUUUGAGGAUGGAUUGACUAUGUUUUCAAAAGCAACAAAUCCAAAAACUCGCAUGCAAGAAUAAUCAGGAAGUUUGUUGUAAAGAAUCUCAAAGGGUGUUUUUUUUUGUGAAGCAACAGAGUAGGAAGGCGAUUAAUAAUAUGGACAACAAUAAGAAUACGUUCUCCCUGGAAAGUAAUGGGUAAAUGAGAUUGAAAACAUAGAGAGCAAGCAGUUUCAAGGAUGUGUCUAUGUUUGCGCUCAACGACACCAUUUUGCUGAGGUGUAUAUACACAAGAGUGUUGAAAAAGAACGCCUUCUUCAAGGAAAAAAAAAUUUAAUGAAAUAAAUUCAUCCCCAUUAUCAGAACGAAGUUUUUGAACCUUUGUAUUGAAUUGAGUGUGAACAUAAUGAAAGAACUGACGAAGUAGAGUUUGUAUCUCACUCUUGUUACGCAUUAAAAAAACCCAUGUAAAACGAGAAAAAUCGUCCAUAAUGGUCAAGAAAUAAAAAGCACCAGAAAUAGAAGGGGUUUUACAACAACCCCAAAUAUCACAAUGAAUAAGAGAAAAACACUUCGAAGUUGAAAUUGAACUAGAAGGAAAAGGUUGAUGAGUUUGUUUUGCCAAUGGACAAACGUCACAUUUAUGACUGGAAUCAAAAUUAAAUUUAAGCGAAUUAUCAGCUAAAAAUUAUAAACGAUUAGAAGAAGGGUGUCCCAAUCAGCGAUGCCAAAUAUCAGAUGAGAUAAUCAAAUUGCAAGCAAAACGGGUAGAAGGAGGAGUUGAAGCCAACACCACAAGAUAAUACAGGUCAUCGCGUCGCUUAAAUCAUCGGUUGUCUUGCCAACAGACAUAAGAUCAACUUUAAAGCUUGGCACAUAGAGGACGUUAUUCAAUUGAAAAGAAUUCUUAAAUUGAAUUGAGCUAGUCACAUUAAUUUUAGCCACGUCUCCACUAGGUAAGGAAACAUGUGCCAAAUACAUAUUCUUGUCGACAUGCUUUAAUGAUGUAGGAGAAGAAGUAAUAUGAUGGGUUGCCCCACUGUCAAGUAUCUAGCGAUUGUGAGCAACCGGUAAUAAACCUGAUGUAUGUUUGAAGGUUGAGGCAGCAACAACAUUAACCUGUGGAUUGAUAGGCUUGGUGGUCAAGACACUGAGUAUCUGAACAUAUUGAUCCUCGGUUAAGUUGGGUAGAGAGACCUGGAGUUCCUGAAAAGUGGGAUUAAAAUCCACUUGAUUUGCAGAGGGGUUACCAGAUGCAGAGUGUGAGUUAUGCUUGUCGUAGCCUUGGUGCUGGUGUGGUGCCUUUUCUUUACUUUUUGGAUGACCAGGAGGGUAGCCAAUCAAUUUGUAACAGGUUGCUUUCCUGUGAUACAUAUCACCACAGUAAGUGCACUGAAAAGGCUCUUUAUUACGUGAAUUAUUUGAUUGAUUCCCAUGAAUUUGAUUAUUUUGUCGACCCUUAGACAUGUUGAAAUCGCCACGUAUAGCCAUGGCUGUUGUAUUUCAUGGUAUGGUGACAACAACCCCCAACUCUCGUUGUUUUUCUUCCUGCACAAUAGAGGCAUAAGCUUGAAGAACCGAUGGUAAAGGGUUCGUCAGUAAAAUCCGACCUCUUGCACCUGAAUAUGACUUGUUAGGUCCCAUGAGAAACUGUCAGUUUAUGCAUACUCAUAUAGACUCUCAUUGGGUCACUGUUAAGUAUAUUUUACGCUACCUUAAAGGUACGACAUCUUACGGCUUCCAUAUCACUCGCAAUUCCUCUUUCUCUCUCCAUGGUUUUACAAAUGCAGAUUGGGCUGGUAGUAUUGAUGAUCACAAGUAUAUGGGUGGCUAUCUUGUUUUUCAAAUGCAAAUCCGGCAAGCAACGCACAGUUGCUCGCUCCUCUACUGAGGCUGAGUAUAAAGCUUUAGCAGAUGAUACUGCUAAGGUCAUUUGUCCUCCGUCUUUGCUUCUACCAUUUGGUGUUGUCGCACCUAACAUCGCGACGACCUUAAAAAUUAUUAAAUCUUUGGAAAGAACGGAUUUCUAGCAUCCUAUUCUUUAAUGGGGAAUGGUCUUUGUUUAAGGGGUUGCCACCUAGUAUUAUGGUUACUAGGAACCAUAAUACUGCUAAGGUCAUUUGUCUUCAAUAUUUGUUAAUAGAUCUGCAGGUUCCCUCCGUCUUUGCUUCUACCAUUUGGUGCUGUCGCACCUGACAUCGCGACGGCCUUAAAAAUUAUUAAAUCUUUGGAAAGAACGGAUUUCUAGCAUCCUAUUCUUUAAUGAGAAAUGGUCUUUGUUUAUGGAGUCGCCACCUAGUAUUAUGGUUACUAGGAACCCUAACUAGUCAACAGAGAUUCUAUGGUCCAAUACUGAUUACAUAAAAAGGAAGAUAUUAUCACCCCUUAAACGUCCUGCCUAAGACAGACUGCAUUGCUGAUUUUUGUCAUUAAUUGCUAACAUUUUUUUUGUUGGUUUAUAAUAUGAUUGUUUGCAUGUAAUAUUCCUGACGCUGGCGCCAGAAAAUAUUCAACUACGGAUAUUUCCAACUCUGGCCUGGCCUAGGUCACUAGCCCAAGCCAGUGACCCGACUGAAAAAAAAAAUAGAUGCACGCGUGAAACAAUUUCACGCGUGCAUUAAUAGUGCGAAGGUAAAUUAAAUUACCUUUGCACUGUUCAAACGUUAUUUGAACACUGAAGAGCAAAAAGUUGGAAACGGGCGCACCUGUUUAUGGCGAUUGAAGAAGGCUGCAGCGCUGGUGUGGCUACUUUGAUUCGGCCGCUUUCCACUCUUUCCCCAGGUAUGCCCGCUGUCCCGUUUUUUAUUUCUCAGUUCUUGAGAUGAAGGACUUCUGUUUCUCUCUUGAUUGUGUUCUGUCGUUUCCAGAUGAAGACCAGCGGACAAUGGUGAUGCUGGUUGUCAAUAAUCUUUGGUUCGAUGGCAUUUUCGUUUUUUUGCAGGGACGAAGAUAAUGGCAGGGCUGAUCUGUGACUCUCGUCUGUCUUUCUCUCCUUUUCUGUAAUUUUUUUUUGUGGAUGCUCUGUUUCUGUGGUGUGAGUUUUUUGUGUUUUUUUGGUUUUUUUUCGGCUGUGUUUUCUUGUUAUUAGCUCUGUUUUUCUAGCUUGAUUUCUUCUUCCUUGUUCUGGGUUUUUCAUCCCCUUUUAUAAAGAUCCAGCCGCUAACCAAUCCUGCCUUUGCAGGACUGUUAUCUUCCACGAACGAGAUCGUGGGCGAGAGCCGUGAUCCACGAUUGGAUCAAAUCCGUUGCAGAAUUUCAGCCUGUUGAAUCGGGAUGGAGAAGACGAACACGACUGUUCCACCAGCAACGACGACGUACGUUUCGGCAACACUAGAUUCCCAGUAUCAACAGCACCGUUUCGGCAACAGUGGUGUUGUAACCCAUUUUCGGGUCCCCAUAAAAAUAAAUAAAAUAAAUAGCCAAAGGAGGUUAGAAAAAUAACUGGAGGCAGAAGCGCUCAGCAAAUGGUCAGAAAAAUCGGUCAAGGAGGUUAAAAAUACAAAGAUGGAUUUUUGACAAUAUAUUCUUGAAUGAUGAGAGCCCUGUUGGAUAAGAAAAUUGGAAAUUUGAGGAGAAAAGUCCAAAUUUGGAUCUUUAUGGACUUAAUUGGAUUUUUAUUUGAAUUUAUAGAGGAUUUGAUUGCAAGAAAAAUCGAAUUUUAAGUCAAUUUGGGCUUUAAUUAGAAGAAAUUUAAGUUCUGGGGCCAAAAUAUAUUUUUUAGGAAUUUAUUGGGUCAAAUCAGGGGCUUAAUUGCAUAAAUAUUGAAGUUUAAUGGCCAAUUAGGGGUUUAAUUGUGAAAAACCGAAACCAGGGACCAAUUUGGAAAAAGUGGGUAAAUAGAGGGGGCUGUUUUGAAUUGGUUCAGGGGCCUAAUUGAAGAAAUUGGAAGUUUAUUGAUCAAUUAAGGGCUAAAUUGCAUAAAUCAGAGGCCAAGGACCAAAGUGAAAAACGCGGCCAACUAUGGGGGCGGAGAUCGAAAUUGGCAGGGAUGCAAUUGAAAUGAAUUAAAGAUGAUUGAGGGCUGAUUUGAAGUUUGGCGUGUUUUGGCGCCCUGUUUUAAUGAAACGACGCAUUUUGUCCAAAACGACGCCGUUUCAUGUUAAAAUUAAAAAAAGAAAAAAAAAGAAGACCAGAACGGUGUCGUUUUGAACGACACUGUUCAUCUUCCUUCUUCCCCCCGAACCUACAACAGAAGGAAGGAAACUUUGUUUUUGAAAAUCUUCACGCCCCUCUCUCCCCUGCAUCUCCACCAAACAGCCCGAAGCCCCACACCGUGGGAUCACCAACCGAAGUCAUUGGCCAACCACCGGCCGAAAGUAAAGGAACGACGCCUUGUUGUCGCGUGUGGUGGCCGACCAGCCACCGCGAAACCCGCUCCCAGGCGCAUUAAUAACGGUCCCAACGCCUUUUCUCUCCUAUAAAAAGAGAACAAAAAGAAAAAGAGAGGGGAGGAAAACCGAAAGAGAAGGAGACCGAAGAGAGAGAGAACCGGAGGGAGGAGAGAGAGAGGAGAAGAGAAAUAACGAAUGAAAGAGAGGGGAGAACAGAAACAAACCGAAAACAAGGAAACCGAAACCGAAAACAGAGGGAAAUAACUGAGGAGGAGGAAAAAAAGAAAGAAAAACCGAGACAAAAGGAGAGAGAGAGAGACCGAAGGAGAGAGAAACCACCGAACUUAAGAAACAGCCACCGAAAACCCAAAGUUGAGAAGCUUGGGAUAGUUGAAACUGAGAGAGAACUCAAGAAACCGAAACAGAAGUAACGAAUCGGGUGAACGACGACGAACCGUUGGAAACAGCCGUAGCGCCGCCUGGAGCCGCCGUCCGUGAGCCAAGACACCGCCACCGGCCACCACCACAGCAUCACCAGCAAGGAACUCCGGCCGCAGCAUUGCCUCCGCCGCGCCAGGUGCCUUUUCUUCUCCCUAGUAGCGUUGGAUUUCGUUUGUUUCCUGCAUGCAGAAUGCAUGCAGGAGAAGGGGAAGGGGGGAAAAUAAUUCCCCCCUCCCCCGGUUAAUUUCGUCUGGGCUAGUCCGGGCCCAGACUAAAGAAAAAUUUUGUUUUGGGCCGAGAUCGGCCUGCCUUUUUUUGUUUGUUUAGUUUGAGCCCGGCCCAUUUAUUUAGGUCGGCCCAGCACGAAUUGUUUUUUAUUGUAUAUUAUAAAUUAUAAUAUAUUAUAAUAUAUAUGUGAGUGUAUAUAUAUUAUAUAUAUAUAUAUAUAUAUUUUUUAAAAAAAAUAUAUAUUUUGAAAAAUCUUUAAAAAAAUAUUGUUGAUUUUCCUGCAUAUUUUUGUCAAAAUGGUUUAAUGUUGGUUUGUAUUUUUAUACCGUAAAGAUACAAAACCAGUGUUAAAAACAUCAAAGAUUUUCAGAAUAAAAAAUGUUUUUGCUUUCAAAAAAUUUCUAAAAAGUCCCUAAAAAUGUUGUUGAUUUUUCUGCAUAUUUUUGUUAAAGUGGAUUAAUAUUGGGUUGUAUUUUUAUACCAUAAGGAUACAAACUCAAUAUUAAAAUACCCGAUUUUCGUCAAAGCAUAAAAAAAAUAUAUAUUUUUUUUAAAUUUGUUUUUUUGUUUUAAAAUACGGCCUAGUCUCUCCAAUAUAUAUAUAUAAAUAUUAUAACAUCGUAUUUUCGCACAACAAAGGAAAUUUUCAAAAUAAUAUUUAUUAGCAUGUAUUUUGGCUUCAAUAACCAGUUUAUUCAAGCUAUGAGAACUAGGCCAAUAUUUCAAAAAUUCUAAAAAAAUAUUUUUUUGUUUUCUUUUAGUAUUUGGGAUUACGAAUUUAUAUGUAAAAUGUAUUCCUAAAUAUUAUUAAUAAAGUUUUAGUAUAAACGUUAGAACGGUUAGGAUUUUACCCGAUAAGAUAAAGACCUCCUUACCGAGGAGGACUUUUCUUGAACCAUACACAGACCAACAACUAGAAGUCCAAAAACACCUUAGUUUUUAUCAGAAAAUAAAACAAUGCAGCUUACCUUAGGUAAGGCGUAUUUGGGGUGCUAAUACCUUCUCUUUACGCAACCAGUCCCCGUACCCGAUCUCUGAGACCAGUUAGGGUUCCUAGUGACCAAAAUACUAGGUUGCGACUCCCAUUCCAUUUUCUACCAAUAAAAGACAAUAUUCUCUUGUCUCCCCAUAUUUUCCAAAUAGAUAUACAUAGAUUUACAUUGUAGAUAAGAAAAUGGAAAAACUUGUUAUUUUCGCCGCGACGCCGCACACGUGCGACAAGUGGCAUUUUCAUUUUGACCCCUGAACUUUGGAAUUGUAACCGUUGGAUCUCAAUUAAAUAAAAAUUCCUUUUAAUUUUGCCCUUUUUUGGAUAAACUUCAAUUAAAUCCCUAAAUUGGUGCACUAUUUACAAAACAGUCCUUAAUUCCUGGAUUAUUCAAUUUGGUCCUUAAUUAAUUCUUUAAAUUUUUCCCUUUUUGGAUAAAUUUCAAUUAAGUCCCUGAAUUUAUUUAAUUAAUUAAAUCAAAGUUUUAUUAAGUCCGCAAACUUAUUAAUUCUUCUAAUUUCAUUAAUUAAACUAAUCCAAAUUUUAAGUAAAUUUCCAAACUUAUUAAUUCUUUAAUUUCUAACCAAUUUAUUCUCAAAUCUGAUAAUUUUAUCCCUAAACUUCAAAAUUUGUUGUCUUAACACCAUUGUCAACUAUAUUUAAUUUUUAUUAUUUGUUAAAAAAUUGGGUUAUGACAGGUGUGAUAACAUUGGCCUAACCUAUCUCUCUGUGAAUCCUAUUUUCCAUGCUCGUACUGAGGUAGAUAAACACUUUUUCUAUGACCAGGUUGCGUAGAAAGAGAUUUAGAUUCAUUUUAUCUCCUCUCAAGAUCAACUUGCCGAUGUCUUCACCAAAACGCUUUCUGCUACAUCUUUUACUGCUUUUUGAUUCAAGCUUCAGGUCGAUCCUCCACCCUCAACUUGAGAGGGCAUAUUAUAUAAUGUAUAACAUGUAUAUAUCUUAAUGGGAAAUUAAUGUAGGAUUAUUCCAAUGUUGUAAUCCCUGCAGUUACUGAUGUGUUCUGCCACAUAUAUAUAAAUAGGAAAGGUUGGCUAAGGCACAACCAAGCCAUUCUAUUUUUCUCAACUGAGGACUAGAGUUAUGGGUUUUUGAGGAGCACGUUGAGUUUUAAGGAUUUGCAAUUUUGAAAGACCAACAAAUCAGGAUUUUGAAAUCCUGAUCAACCAGUCUGUUUGUUUGAACCAAUUGACUAAUUGGCCUAAUGGUAUCGGUUGAGUGAUUGGUCAGUUUUGGUUGACCAAUUGACCAAGUAGUGGGAGUUAAUUGGUUCUUUUCAGUUUGGGUAAUUUGGGAAAUGUUUGGGAUUGAUUAGGUGGAUUUGUUUUGGUUUUAUAAUUACAUUUUGGUCUCUAAUCUUAGAAUUAUAAUCUUUUAUGUUAUCUACUUCGAGUUGUUUUUGAGUAUUUUCUCUACUCGUUAUAGGUUCUGUUGAUAUUCUCCCUAGCAAUCUUUAGUAAUCCCCAAUUUUACAUUUGUUUGUCUCUUGCUUCUGUUUUCCAGGUGAGUGGGAUAAUUUUAAUAUGCAUGUAACAUAAAUAAUAUAUGUAUGUUGAUUAUAUGAUGAGUACAAAUGACAUUCUUGAAUAUUUAUAUAAGUUGAUUUAUUUUUCAAGUACAAAUUUGUAUUCACAUUCUAUUGAUUUAAUUCUAUACGGUAUAUUAUUCGUUUGCUUUGAUAUAUAUGCGAAUAUUUGUUAUGUCUGGAUAUCAGGAUACCUGUAAAAAAUUUCAUACUAACAGAGAAUGAUUAGUCUAUAUGCACUUAGUAGUUUGUAUACCUAGUUAGUGAGAGAGACAUCAGACUGUGAUGAUUAAUUGUCCUAUAGUUAUCGAGGUUGAUAUAUAUAUGUUUCAGUUCUUAUAUUUUUUAUUAUAUCAUAAUUUAUGGUCUAUAACUUAUAAAUAUCUAUAAUGUAUAUUAAAUGAUAUUUAUUCACCGAGUUGGUUAAACUCACCCCUUUAUUCUAAGAUUAUUUUCUGGUUCUUAGUUUCUGUUAGCAGGUUGAUUUUUAGAUGAGAGUUCCUCCUACUUCAUUUACUGGUAUGCAUUGUUUGCUUUCACGAGGCUUUUCUUCUUUUUUUUUUUUUUAUUAAUUUGAUGUCUUAGUCACUUCAAUAUUACGCUGCUUUUAUUCAAGUUUGAAUUUUUAUUUCAAAGAUUGAAAUUUAUUUAAUGCAAUAAUACUUAUUAUGAAUUUUUAUUUUGUUUCUAUUUAAUGAUGAGAAAUUUUGAUGUUUUUAUCUAAAAAGAAACAUGACAGAGAGCGCUUCAAUUUGCCAUUAGUGCAGUUUUGUCUAGCUAGUAGGCAUUGCCGAUUCAAUCUGAAUAUAUUUUGUACUAAUAUAAAAAAGAUUGAUGAUAAAAAUCAUUUCAUGUGAACUGUUAUUGUUGGGGAAUCCGACUGGUGAUGUAUUGAUAGUUGCCCAUUGGAGACUAAGCACACUGACACAAUAUUUAAUGUGGUUUGGCAAACCGCCUACAUCUACGGGAGAAGAGCCACUAUUAUUAGAGAUAUAGAGAAAGGGUUACAACACACAUGGAGGAGGAUGAUCACUUCUCUCAAACUCUACUCCCAUUGCUCUCAUACACUACUGCACAUGGCAAUAGGGCUGCUACCCUUGGCAACCACUCCUCUUUCUCUCUUCCUCUUUUCUUCACACUCUCAUUUACUCUCUUUUUCUCUCAAAUAAUACCUCUAUUUAUAGGCAUCAAUGGUAAGACAAGAGGCCAUCAAUUAUGGAAAACAUGGUGGCAGCACAUGGGGUGCACCAUUUUUGUCAAAUGGUUGGUGCAACUUCCAUUGUAGCCUUUUAACAAUGACAACCCUACUUCUUAGAGUAGGUGCACAUGUUGUUGCCCAUUAUUGGCAAUAUCCAACAAUCACCCUCUUUGACAUUUAUAUGGGCAGUUGUCCUCUUGCUUCUUCAGCACAAGCUUGCAUCCCGCAGCUCUUCCAAACUUACCAUUCUGAGAGCGUCUGUGGCCAAUUUUACAAGUACUCGCGAAACCUUUCAAUCACCAGAGUCACCAAAGCACACAUUUUUCUCACACCAAAGGAUCACUUCAACCAGAUGGUCUCCCACAUCACAUCUGAAUAGUGUUAACGUUUUUCUCUGGGACACAACAUUUCCUUUCGAGCGUAUCAACCAUGCUCGGUCCAGAAUGAUUUUUCAAGCCUCACACCAAGGCUUACAACACCCCCUCAAAUGGAUAUUCCCAAGUGCGAUAGUCAUUGAGUAUUUCAAUGUGAUCACAAGCUCCCCACUCUUCCAAGAGUCUACUCAUCUAGGAGUUGUGUCUGCCCUCAGUUCCACCUUAGAAACCACGCCUUACUUCUCCGUGAGUCUUCUGCUCUUACUCUCAAGAGUCUAGGUAGCUCUCCACCUUUAACCAUAGGGGCAACCCAUUAAAGGUUAAUCCAUAUUUGUCUUCAUACUCUGAGUAUUACAAUGCCAUUACCGAGCUCACCGCCUUGACAAGAGUCAACUUGUUCCAGGAACCUGUGCAUGCCCUUUGCUCAUUCCUAGUUGUCGCGUCUUAAUGCUCCACAAGUCACCCACUUAUUGUCCAAGGAAAAUGUCUUCUAGCUCAUUGAUCUUUAGCAUGGGGGCAUUAUCCAUCAAAGUCAAUUUAGCAUUUAUCUUCAUACUCAUCAUAACCACUUCAUUGGCUAUCCAUACACUUGUCAACUCAUAUCUAGCCAUCACAUCGGCUAUGAGGUUGUACUUGGGCUCAUAUCAUGGCCCUCACACCUUCUCUAAGGUAUCUUCGCCCGUUGUCAUGAGACGGUCACAUCCUCUUUCAGCUGGGAUGACUCCAGUGACUCCAAGAUUUUGUACCACCAUGUGGACUUAGGAGAGAUUACUGCCACUGACUAUAUAGAAAGAGAGAGUUGCGGUACACUCCUCGCAAUCCUUCACCUCGAUUUCUAUGUUUGGAGCUUCUACACCUUUCUGCUUGAUAACUCCACCUACACUAACUCUCUUUGGUGUCUUUGCCUUUCAUCAUAGGCGAUCACCUUUUGUCACAGGCGUUUGCACCCCCUCAAUUAACUGCCUCCACAACAACUCUCUUUCCAUCCUUGCAUGCAUUGGAAAGGUCUUCACCUAUUGUCUUCAUGAAGAGCACAAGAGACUUUAUGUUGUACAACUUUUAACAUAGUGUCUACUCUGAGCUUCAUUUGGGAACUCUUAUUCUCUUUGUACCUAUUGUCUCAUUACAGUACCUCAUUAGAUCCUAUGGGUACUCCUGCACAAUCUCCGUGUGCCCUCGUCCAAUUUAUGUUCUCCAGAUUUCUUCUUAUUCUUUGCUUUUAUAUUUGACAGUAGCUUAUUUUGUCACAACACCUACCAAGUCAAAAUAGAGUGCCAAUCUUUAUCCCCUUGUUGUAUUUCUCUUCCAUUAUUAGGGUCUUCAUCAAUUCUCCCCUCGAGAAAUUACAGUCACCGAAUCUAACUUCUUUAGAGAAAUCACAACUCCAUCAGAUCCUUGAUCAUAUGGAACCCAACUGUUUCCCUUGUGUCGUCAUCCUGCUAGUCUUCACCAGUUUUAUUACAAACUAUUACAUAUACAAAAAUAGUACCAUAUGGAUAAUCUUUCAACUAAGCAAGUUCCCAGGAAAGAUUGGAGGGGUCACAAUUAUCCUACUUAAAACCCAGUCUCCUAGCCAGAACUUCUUAGGCCAUAUCUAUCCACCGUAUUGCUUUUCCGUAUAUACAACCAUUUGCUAGCUUUGUUGCGGCUUUCUUUUACAAGUGAUCUGGAAUAUUUUUGUUUUAUACAUGAUUUCUCAACAUCUAUCGAAACUACUACUGCUUAGAUUUGUCAAGAUUGGUCUUCAUCAGUUUCACUCUCCACCUUAAAUCGUCCACAUGAUCGGGUGUCCAGAGUAUUCCAAUUUUGCCUUCCCUCAAGGCAAUUAAAAUUUCCCCACUUAACAGUUCAGCACAUGUAAUUGGGUAAACAUGUGCACUUCUUCUUCUUCAUCUCCAUCGACCACCAUGAUGACCUUCAGAUGCUUCCUUAUUGGGCAAUCUCUCUUUAAUAAUUCACCAUUGUCGCACCCCAAAAAAAUUCUGGAAUCUGGCAGAUGCUGGUCGACAAACUUAAAUGGCAGGGGAAUGUCCCAUCUUAGCAAAGAUAUUUGAGCAAUUGAUGCUACCGUGAGACCUGGCUAUACCCCAUAAUUAAGGGCUCACACCGUCAAAGUCAUCUCCUGAUUCACCUCUCAUCAUUGUUCUAGAAUCCAUGGCAGAUCCUUCAAUCUUUCUUCUCUUCAUAGCUUGUUCAAUUGUUCGGCAAACCCUCACAACAUUAUUUCAAUCUUCCAAUGUUGCUAUGGUUGGUUGAGGAUUGUUAGAAAACUUUCUAACAGCUUGGUAAUCUUGGCAGCACCCAGAAACUUGUAGUAUCGCCCCUACCGACGUGUGGAAUCACACGUUGUCUCUAUUGGAAGAGCACCUGAUGAAUCUAAAAACUCCUUUGGCCCCUCUUCGAUUUCUCACUGACAGUGCAGCAAACAAACACUUAUAGAGGAAGUCCUGCUCUGUUGAAGUUUCAGUAUUCUUCAUGUUUUUCAGUCUAGGCAUGUCUCUUCUCUCUACUUUUGCGUUUUAAUACUGACACUGUUGGAGGAAAAUCAUAGAUGACCUGAAACUACUGUAUUCCUUCUUGGGCUUCCCACUGGCGGAUCCACAAACAGAUUCCUGCUGAGUGAGCUCUGCUACAUUGAAGUUUGAUGUCUGCUCAUAUUUUUCAGACCAGGUCUGACUCUUCUGCCUACUACAAUGUUUUGCUGGUGCCACUAGUGGGAAAAAGUUUCAAAGCAUAUGAAAUUAAUACAUUCCCUUUUGCAUUUGCCAUUAACAGACCCACAAAUAAAUCUCUACAGAGAGAGCUCUACCGCGUUGAAAUUCAGUGUCUGAUCAUGGUUUUUCAGACUAACAUCUUGUGUUGCUGAACUGGAAUUGAGCUCAUAAUCGGGGUAACUUCAAAGCAGACUAAUGCACCAUGAACAGGAGGCUAGUACUCGUUUGGUUCCAUUAGAUGAUGUGGAGGCGAUGAACACUUAACAGUGUAACUGGACAAGAAUCAGAGUUGUCAUUAGUUGAUGACUGAAGGCAUUGUUGCUUUUGUUCAUGACUGAAAAGGAGAGGCAACUUCAAUUGGACGUGGACAAGCAGUGUUCCCACAGAAAACUGUGCAGACAUUCUCUUUUCAUUUGAUGCUCAACCUUUGUUCGAGCAGAUCUGAGUCCCGCUACUUCACUUUGAUGCUCUCAACCUUAAUCUGAUAUGAACCUAUAUCUGACUCCUUUGUUCACUUCCAUUAUUUUUCUUCAAUCUCGUGCAGCACAACUUGUACAAGGGACCUACUUUCACCCGGUCAUGCAUGAUAAAUGUAUGAACAUGUAAUCUAUAUGAUGAACUCACCCUUCGAGAGGUGACAAUAUGGUCGUAACUCUUGUAUGAUGGACAAGAAUCGUGAUUUUUGCCCAAACUCUACAAUGAAAAUUUUCGGAGCAACGGCCAAUGUGUCACCACAAGUCUUGAGUUCAAGAUGCUUCAAGAAGGGUUUGCCCUUAUGCAAAAAACGAUAGCACAUACAACCUAAGGACAGGUUCUAUUCAUUAUGUGAACAUGGGUAGUUUUCUAUCUGGUCUCAAAAGGGUCUCAUAUCUGCCCAGUGACGUUCUUCGUAAAGACAGUAUGGGGGCGUUGCAAGGAAUGGUUAAGGCACGUAUACCCACCAUUACCAAGCAGGCACUCAGAUAUGAGUUGGGUGUUUCACGCAUCUGAACCCUGACCAAUAGUCUUAGGGCAGAUCGCUAGUUCCCCACCUAACCUAGAAGCUUGUGUGUGCUUUUAAAAAUAAAUACAGGUGAUGCAUGAGACAAUUCUAUAAAAUGCAUGGAAAUAAAUAUUAACAAAAAGAUAAAAAUGCAAAAACUUAAACACAUCAAAUACACAAAGCUUAGUCCAAUAAUCGAAAAAAUACCUUCCCCAGUGGAGUCGCCAUUCUGUCGCACCCCAAAAAAAUCAGCGCGCGGCAUCGGCUGGCGAUUUAAAUCUCGUUUAUUGCGUUUGCUUGAAUUUGGUUCGUUGGAGUCGCCACCUAGUAAUUGAUUUCGGGCUACUAGGAAACCGGAUGUACUGGUCUUGUCAGAGAUUCGCGGGUAAGGGACUGGUUGUGGUUAGGGAAGGUAUUAGCACCCCUAACGCACCCUACCUGAGGUAAGCUGCUUCGUGGCUUUGACGUGUUAAAGAAGUUUUAAUAAUUGUCUUUUCUUCGGAAAUUAGAAAUAUCACUUACGUAUAAGUUAAUAAUUCUUAACCGUGAUCCGAUCAAAAUAUUAAAUUCUUCUUUAAUAUAUUUGCAAUUUUAUCAUUUAAAAAUAUAUACAAAUAAAUAAAACAAAAAUACAAGCACACACAUACACUUUCACUAUUUUAUUUUUGUUUCUUUUCUUUUCUUUUUCUUUUCUUUUCUUUUCUUUUACAUCCAUAUUUACAAAAUACAAAUUACAAAAACAAAAAAAACAAAAAUCAAAACUAAACAAAUUACAUUAAAAACACAUUAAAAUUACAAAACAGUCCCUAAAAUUCAGGAAAAACAACUCUGGGAAGCAACUCAAGCCCGACUGAACAGUAGCGGCGCGUCUUCCCACGCGCCGCCGCUACUGGCGGCGCGUGGGUUCACGCGCCGCCACUGGAAAACAUGGCAAACCAGGGGUGUAUGGAGCGCCUUCCUCCCCCGUUCAUUUUUCUGUCGGCGGUGAGGAUCCGGGCACCUGCAAACACAAGAGAAAUACACAAAGAGCAGUCGGUUUUAGUUUUUUAGAUCUGUUUUUAAUUUUCUUCUGCCCGUUUCGGAUCUGCUCAAUUCGUUCUCUUUCUGGUGGUUAUUCCUUCGUUCUUCAGAUGGCGGAGUGCUGAGUGGCUCGCCGGGCGUGCUGCAGUGUCUCCGUCGCAGGAGAAGGCUGGCCAGCGAGAGGAGAGCAAGGGUGUCUUGGCUGGCGGCAGUGACUACUGCUGGAGGAAGAAGACGGCCCGAUUUGGGUCUGUCCACGCCACUGUGUUCGGGGCUGUCGUCUGUCCGGCGGCUUCGCUGUUGACGGAGAUGAAGAGAUCGCAGGAGGAGAAACAGGUAGUGGCCGUCGUCUGUGGGGCUGGCGCUGCUGUCGUCCGUCCGUCUGACUUCGUUGUGGAGAAGAGAGCAGCCGUUGAGCGGUGGCUGGUGAAGAUGGAGAUUUCGGCCGGGGCUGCUGUUUUGGUGGAGGUUCAGAUGGCUGGGAAAAAAUAAAAAAACAGUGGGGGGGGGCGCCAGGUUGAAGAUGGAGGCGACGGCUGGUAUAACAAAAAUCAAAUGUAAAUUCGGGGGCCCCCUUUUCGUUUGGAUCCGAGGGGGGCUGAAAAAGAAGAAAAGGGGGCUCCAAUGUUUAAAAAAAAUCAAAACCGGGGAACAGGGGGGGGCGGCUCUGUUGGCAAAGAAGAUGGGAAACGGCGGGGUAAAAAAUGCACGGGGUAGGGGCGGCUGCUUUGGGUAGGCUGUUUGGAGAAAACAAAUGAUAGGUUUAGGGUUUUUUCCUUUUGUAUUUUUGCUGAAGUUUCAAAAUUGCCCCCCCCCCCUUUAAAAAUCAGUUUAGCAUGGUAUUUAUAGGCAAAAAAUAUUGCUAGGUUUUUCGACUUGGUCCCUCAACUUCUUUCUUUUUGUAAAUUUUGAUUUUUCUUAUUUUUUUGUAUUUUUUGAAAACAAGCAAUAUCAACGUCGACUCAAAUGCGGAAAAUCAAUGAUUUUAAAAAUGACGCGUGAAAAGUCGAACGCGUUUGAAAAUAUUUUAACAAUUUAAAUUCUUUUUUAGACGACGUUGAAAAUGCUAAAAUGACGAAAAUAUAUUAAAAAAACAUAUUUUUUGGAUUUUCUUUGUUUUUCUCAAUUUUUUGGAUUUUUUGAAAAUAUAUCAAAACAUGGGUCAAAAAUUGGGUAACAACAACCAUCACCAUUUUUGGUCUCCAAUAUUAAUGAUCGGACCGUACCAUUGCAUCCAAAAUGAUCAAAUUAGCUGGAAACAAUUCUGAAAUCAUCCAAAUCACAUUUCAGAUGGCUAAGAUUUGAUCAAAACAAGUUUGGCCUCAUCAACGACUCAGAUUCAAUCUCAGAUAUGGUUGCAUGUAGGAUCAGCUACUAUGGAUCCUAUUCCUCGACUCGCGGCUUGGCUCCAAUGCGGCUCGGGGCUGAUGACGUGGCAGGUAGGUCCCACCGUGAUGAGGUGUCUGUUGACUGGGCACUAACAUGUCAUGCCAACUAUGCAUGUUGACGCCAUGAUGAUGUCAUGUUGAUGUCAUCCUUAUCCGGGUCAAUCACGUGGGUCGGGUCGUCUGGUAUUCGGGUCGGGUCAGCCCAUCCGGGUGAAGAAGACGCGUGGCACACGUGGUGUGUGUCUGUGGGCGUGGACAGUCACUUCGUUGGUUCGUAGGGGCACGUGUGGCCAUGUUCGACGUUCGAUUUUGACGCGGUUUUCACCAGUGUGCUCGUCUCUUCCUACUCUACAGAGUGGUAUGGUGAAAACAUAAUGUUGACAACUUUCAUUUUUGAGCAAAAAUCAAACACCACUUUAAACCAUAUGCUUUGAUACCAAUUGUUAGAGAAUCUGACCGGUGAUGUACUGAUAGUUUCCAAUUGGAGGCUAAGCACACUAACACAUUAUUUAACGUGGUUCGGCAAACCGUCUACAUCUACGGGAGAAGAGCCAAUAUUAUUAGAGAUAUAGAGAAAGGGUUACAGCACACAUAGAGGAGGAGGAUCACUUCACUCAAACUCUAGUCUCAUUGCUCUCACACACUACUACACAUGGUAGCAGGGCUGCUACCCUUGGCAGCCACUCCUCUUUCUCUCUUCCUCUCUAUUCUUCACACUCUCACUCACUCUCUUUUGCUCUCAAAUAUUGCCUCUAUUUAUAGGCAUCAAUGGUAAGACAAGAGGCCAUCAAUUAUGGCACAAAAUGGUGGCAGCACAUGGGUUGCACUAUUUUUGUCAAAUGAUUGGUGCAACUUCCAUUAUAGCCUUUUGACAAUGGCAACCCUACUUCUUAGGGUAGGUACACUUGUUGUUGUUCAUUAAUGGCAAUAUCCCAACAAUUAUUUCAUUUUUUCAUCACAUCAAAGCAAAGGAUAAAUCAAGAGGAUAAUAAAGGUGACAAUAAAGAAAAUCAAAUUCUAUAGAUUUAAUAUUUAUUAAAUAUUUGAUUGCUCCAUAAUUAUUCUUAAUAGUUGAUGUUUAUCCCCUAGAUUUAAUCAGAAGGCUCCAUAAUCUUUUCCUCAUAUUAUCUAAUAUACUCUCAAGAUCGAAUUGAAUUAAUUGAAUAUUGCUCGUUAGAAUGACAAUGAUGCGGGAAAAGAAAUCCUGGAUGAUGUGGUAUUUUUCUGAUUUAAUUUAGAUCAAUUACUUUAUUGUGUUGUAUUUUAUUUAACAUGCUUAAAAUUUGAAAUUUUUUGUAAGAACGUAUUUUUGUAAGAAGUCAAAUAUUGCUUUGGCAGUGUUUUCUUCGAACUUGUUUUCUUUUUAUCUUCGGUGAUAAUCUUUAAAGCAGUAAAUUUAAUUUCUUGAUUUAUAGUAAGCUUAGCCAUGAAAUCGUGGAAACUAAAUGAAUAAACAAAUCGAAGAAGAUGAAAAGAUUUGUGAAAGUUAAAAGAUUUCACAAUAGAUAAUCUCUCGAGACACUGCUUACAAUCUGUACAUGAUAUGUAAAGUAUUCUACAAAAUUGUUUUCUCUAAUAUAUGCUAAUCUGUCCCUUUUAUGACGCAUUUAAGCGAGAAGUGAGAUCGAUGAAGAUGUCUUCCCGACAAGGAAUUGUGAGACCACCCAUUUGAUGAUCAAAUCCAAAUUCCUCUUCAGCUUUACUUAGCAGCUCUUGAAAUGAAGGCUGGUUCAAGUGUGACACUGGAAUCACAAAUCUUUUCUUCUCUUCUUCUCCAACAUAUACUGCAACAUAGCCCUUUCGAACAUCCCUAGCUGGAGAUGAUCCUCGAAGAAGAUUUUGCUUAGCUUGAAGAAUACGAGGGAAGCGAAUAGCCAUCAUUUUGUUUGGAUGUAAAUG